GAUGAACGCUAGCUACAGGCUUAACACAUGCAAGUCGCGGGGCAGCAUGGGGGUUGCUUGCAACCCCUGAUGGCGACCGGCGCACGGGUGAGUAACGCGUAUCCAACCUGCCCUUCACCACGGGAUAACCCGGCGAAAGUCGGACUAAUACCGUAUGUUGUCCAUUGACGGCAUCCGAUUUGGACGAGAGGCGUGGCGGUGAAAGGAUGGGGAUGCGUCCGAUUAGCUUGACGGCGGGGUAACGGCCCACCGUGGCUACGAUCGGUAGGGGUUCUGAGAGGAAGGUCCCCCACACUGGAACUGAGACACGGUCCAGACUCCUACGGGAGGCAGCAGUGAGGAAUAUUGGUCAAUGGGCGUAAGCCUGAACCAGCCAAGUAGCGUGCAGGAUGACGGCCCUAUGGGUUGUAAACUGCUUUUAUGCGGGGAUAAAGUGGCCCACGUGUGGGCUUUUGCAGGUACCGCAUGAAUAAGGACCGGCUAAUUCCGUG
RNAcentral lists this ribosomal RNA (491 nucleotides) under uncultured bacterium. RNAcentral describes it as "partial 16S ribosomal RNA". It matches the Rfam family "Bacterial small subunit ribosomal RNA", at positions 28 to 507 of the family's 1533-position model. The record is from RNAcentral.